RNAcentral lists this transfer-messenger RNA (408 nucleotides) under Ciona savignyi (Pacific transparent sea squirt). It matches the Rfam family "transfer-messenger RNA". From Rfam's summary of the family: Bacterial tmRNA, also known as 10Sa RNA or SsrA, is named for its dual tRNA and mRNA-like properties. Its role is to liberate the mRNA from a stalled ribosome. To accomplish this part of the tmRNA is used as a reading frame that ends in a translation stop signal. Lineage: Eukaryota; Metazoa; Chordata; Ascidiacea; Phlebobranchia; Cionidae. The record is from Rfam by way of RNAcentral.
GGGGGUGAUUCGGAUUCGACGACGGUAUCGAACCCUUAGGUGCAUGCCGAGGGCGUAGUGGUUCUCGUUAAUCAAAACACUACAAACCUAUUAGUUGCCACAUUGACAACUACUGGAAGUGCAAACGACGAGUUCUUUGACGCUCGUCUUCGUGCUUAAUCGUAGCUAAACCCUACGAGCUUCCCAGUCCGUCCGGCUCGUCUGCUGGCUGGUUUUUCGGACUGUCAUCGUAAGCGGACUCGCCACGUUCAGCAGGUCUCUGGCUGACGGGUUAAAACUUGUGGGAAUCGCGCUGCAGAACCCCGACCACUGGGUCGCUGUGGUGUUAAAUUUAAACGUGGAUCUAAGCAUGUAAAGCCGAAGGCUGAGAGCUGGCGGACGCGGGUUCGACUCCCGCCGCCUCCACCA